Molecule: long non-coding RNA, 396 nt
Filed under: Rattus norvegicus (Norway rat)
Lineage: Eukaryota; Metazoa; Chordata; Mammalia; Rodentia; Muridae
Description: long non-coding RNA NONRATT014993
Source: RNAcentral
GACCCAGGUGGGGAAGGGGCGCGGCUGCCCCGCGUAACUGCAGCGCACCCAGCCCUGAGUCCCGGGUUCGCUCCAGCCCGGUGACAGGCCAGGAAGCCGAGCCGAGCCGACCGAGCGCCCGGACACGCAGAGCGCUCGGAUGCUGCCUCGCAGCCGCUGGACGCGCGUCCGGAGCCGGCCACGCUGCCCCGCCCUCGCACUCUUUCAACCCUUCGGGCAAAGAAGCUGGCCCGCCCGGGUUCAGCCGGGAGCCCCAAUCGCCCUCUUCCGCGACCUGCUGCAGACCCAGGGGUCGGGCCGCUCCAGUUAGAGCGCUCGCACCGGCAGAGGAUCGCGCAAACUCUCGAUCGCGAGACGGUUGUCGCUCACGGCCGCCCAGUGGCGGACAGCGGCCGC